RNAcentral lists this ribosomal RNA (726 nucleotides) under Triticum aestivum (bread wheat). RNAcentral's name for it is "partial small subunit ribosomal RNA". The record is from RNAcentral. Lineage: Eukaryota; Viridiplantae; Streptophyta; Magnoliopsida; Poales; Poaceae.
CUGAACAUUCUCCACGAUUUCGGGCGCGCCACGGGGCUCUAUAUCAACACUGGAAAAUCGACGGCUUCUUCGAUCAGCUGCGACGAUCUCAACCUUGAGGACGUGCUUCACAAUUUUGGCGGCUCCAUAGCGCACUUCCCCACUAAGUAUCUAGGGCUACCGCUUACAACUGGCUGGCUCCGGCUCACGCACCUUCAGUUCAUCAUAGACAGAAUCAAAGCCCGGCUUGCGGGAUGGAAGGGUAGGCUGAUCCACAUCGCGGGACGGCGCGUGCUGGUCCGCUGCGUCCUCAGUUCCAUGCCUACCUUCGUGUUAACCGUUCUGCAGAUACCCAAGAAGAUCCUCAAGGAAAUCGACAAGUGCCAUCGCCGCUUCCUCUGGAAACAAGAUGAUGAGAUCACCGGCGCCAGCUGCAAGGUAAACUGGGUGGCGGUCUGCACGCCAACGGCAAACGGGGGUCUGGGAGUCCUGACCUCCAGCGCUUCGGUCAAGCCCUUCGACUCUGUUGGCCAUGGUUCUCAUGGCGCCACCCUGAGAGGCCUUGGGUGGGCUCGGAUCUGCCUUGCAAUGCCGACGAGCUCUCGCUUUUCACGGUGGCUACCGCGGUCAGCAUCGGGGACGGCGCAUCGGCAUCCUUCUGGCACUCGCCGUGGCUGGGACCGGGCACGCUCGCCCAGCAAUUCCCGCGGCUGGCCCAGCACGCCCGAAGAAAGAACAAGACGGUAA